CAAGAGUGACCGGCCAGUGUGUGUAGGCGGGAAGAGGCGUCCGCUUCUGCGAUACGCGGGAGCCGGGGCUGUGGAGGCUUCUGGUUCUAGACUGGUGCCUCAGAGCAGGCUCCCUCUGUCUCCAUAGCAGACCGCUGUCCUCGUGAUGCCCGCACCUCCUUCCUGUUCCAGGCAGCAAAUUGGCCAGUGGGCCUGUGACCCCCAAACUUCUCAUCUAUGCGGGAGUCGUGACAUCUGAGCAUAUAUGACCCUGAAAGAUCAGCUGGGUGUUAUUCCAUCAGCGGCACCUCAGAUCAUCAGGCACUGGGUCCCGGAGAUUGGGGAACGCCAGCUGUAAGGUACAGUCUCUUCGCAGAUUCCAGGGUCAGGAUGGGGGAAGCUUUGGGAAGUGGAGGCGACUGGGAAUCUUUCUGCGCCCCACAUGGGGUCACCCCUGGUGUUUGUAAG
This 447-nucleotide long non-coding RNA is filed under the name Cervus hanglu yarkandensis (Yarkand deer). RNAcentral's name for it is "lncRNA (ENSCHYG00000026353.1)". Lineage: Eukaryota; Metazoa; Chordata; Mammalia; Artiodactyla; Cervidae. The record is from RNAcentral.